RNAcentral lists this ribosomal RNA (428 nucleotides) under Bacteroidota bacterium. RNAcentral describes it as "Bacteroidetes bacterium partial 16S ribosomal RNA". It matches the Rfam family "Bacterial small subunit ribosomal RNA", at positions 355 to 776 of the family's 1533-position model. Lineage: Bacteria; Pseudomonadati; Bacteroidota. The record is from RNAcentral.
UAGGGAAUCUUCCGCAAUGGACGCAAGUCUGACGGAGCAACGCCGCGUGAGUGAAGAAGGAUUUCGGUUCGUAAAACUCUGUUGUUAGAGAAGAACAGCGCAUAGAGUAACUGUUAUGCGUGUGACGGUAUCUAACCAGAAAGCCACGGCUAACUACGUGCCAGCAGCCGCGGUAAUACGUAGGUGGCAAGCGUUGUCCGGAUUUAUUGGGCGUAAAGCGCGCGCAGGCGGACUAGCCAGUCAGUCUUAAAAGUUCGGGGCUUAACCCCGUGAUGGGAUUGAAACUACUAGUCUAGAGUAUCGGAGAGGAAAGUGGAAUUCCUAGUGUAGCGGUGAAAUGCGUAGAUAUUAGGAAGAACACCAGUGGCGAAGGCGACUUUCUGGACGAACACUGACGCUGAGGCGCGAAAGCCAGGGGAGCGAACGGG